RNAcentral lists this ribosomal RNA (274 nucleotides) under uncultured bacterium. Its description in RNAcentral is "partial 16S ribosomal RNA". It matches the Rfam family "Bacterial small subunit ribosomal RNA", at positions 523 to 796 of the family's 1533-position model. The record is from RNAcentral.
AUACGGAGGGUGCAAGCGUUAUCCGGAAUCAUUGGGUUUAAAGGGUCCGUAGGCGGGCAAUUAAGUCAGAGGUGAAAUCCCACAGCUCAACUGUGGAACUGCCUUUGAUACUGGUUGUCUUGAGUUAUAGUGAAGUAGAUAGAAUGUGUAGUGUAGCGGUGAAAUGCAUAGAUAUUACACAGAAUACCGAUUGCGAAGGCAGUCUACUAACUGUAUACUGACGCUAAUGGACGAAAGCGUGGGGAGCGAACAGGAUUAGAUACCCCAGUAGUCC